RNAcentral lists this ribosomal RNA (501 nucleotides) under uncultured bacterium. Its description in RNAcentral is "partial 16S ribosomal RNA". It matches the Rfam family "Bacterial small subunit ribosomal RNA", at positions 30 to 523 of the family's 1533-position model. The record is from RNAcentral.
AUUGAACGCUGGCGGCAGGCUUAACACAUGCAAGUCGAGCGGAGAGAGGUAGCUUGCUACUGAUCUUAGCGGCGGACGGGUGAGUAAUGCUUAGGAAUCUGCCUAUUAGUGGGGGAUAACAUUUCGAACGGAAUGCUAAUAACGCAUACGUCCUACGGGAGAAAGCAGGGGAUCUUCGGACCUUGCACUAAUAGAUGAGCCUAAGUCGGAUUAGCUAGUUGGUGGGGUAAAGGCCUACCAAGGCGACGAUCUGUAGCGGGUCUGCGAGGAUGAUACGCCACACUGGGACUGAGACACGGCCCAGACUCCUACGGGAGGCAGCAGUGGGGAAUAUUGGACAAUGGGCGCAAGCCUGAUCCAGCCAUGCCGCGUGUGUGAAGAAGGCCUUAUGGUUGUAAAGCACUUUAAGCGAGGAGGAGGCUACUUUAGUUAAUACCUAGAGAUAGUGGACGUUACUCGCAGAAUAAGCACCGGCUAACUCUGUGCCAGCCGCCGCCGUAA